Molecule: ribosomal RNA, 466 nt
Filed under: uncultured bacterium
Lineage: Bacteria
Description: partial 16S ribosomal RNA
Rfam family: Bacterial small subunit ribosomal RNA
Source: RNAcentral
GAUGAACGCUGGCGGCGUGCUUAACACAUGCAAGUCGAACGAUGAAGCCCAGCUUGCUGGGUGGAUUAGUGGCGAACGGGUGAGUAACACGUGAGUAACCUGCCCUUAACUCUGGGAUAAGCCUGGGAAACUGGGUCUAAUACCGGAUAGGAGCGUCCACCGCAUGGUGGGUGUUGGAAAGAUUUAUCGGUUUUGGAUGGACUCGCGGCCUAUCAGCUUGUUGGUGAGGUAAUGGCUCACCAAGGCGACGACGGGUAGCCGGCCUGAGAGGGGGACCGGCCACACUGGGACUAAGAAACGGCCCAGACUCCUACGGGAGGCAGCAGUGGGGAAUAUUGCACAAUGGGCGCAAGCCUGAUGCAGCGACGCCGCGUGAGGGAUGACGGCCUUCGGGUUGUAAACCUCUUUCAAUAGGGAAGAAGCGAAAGUGACGGUACCUGCAGAAGAAGCACCGGCUAACUACGUG